ACCUCUCCAUAAUCCCUUUUGGCCUCGUCUCCCUUUCCUCGCCAUGACGGAAGUCCCACCAGCUGCUCCCGGCGCUCAAGCAACCGCGGCGGCGUCCCCGGCGGGCGAGCGCGAUGAGCAGGCAAGCACCUCGCGGGCUACAGGUUCGACGAGCCGCGGAGGAGCCGGAGGUGGAGGGCCCGGGCGGAGCGCGGCGGGAGACGAGCAGGCGCGGCUGGUCGUGCCGAUGCCGGCGCCGGCGAUGGGUCCGACCCCAGCGGGUGUGAGCGCAGCGUAUGUGCCUGCGCCCGUACCUGUGCAGUGCAGGCGCGGCCUUGGUCGGGGUCGAGGUCGUCCGUCCCGUGGGCGAGGCUUGUGGUUGGAUUGCUGCUCCUGGUGCUGCUGGGCUACGCGUUCAUCAAAUGGGGCCUCCCCUUUCUCUCCGAGAAGGUGAUGUUUCUUGUCUGAUCUCCUAAUAAGAGUGUGGGCCCUAUUUAUUGACGCAGGAAUUGCUCUCAGUCGGUUCUGAUUUGCAGAGAAUUUGUUCCAUCUUCUCUCUCAAAUCUCAAUACGAAGGGAUUGUGCCUAAUCCCCAAAAUCCAAA
This is an RNA transcript of Panicum virgatum (switchgrass), 583 nucleotides long. RefSeq lists it as uncharacterized. The record is from RefSeq and is a predicted model, not a curated record. The transcript has 2 exons. Lineage: Eukaryota; Viridiplantae; Streptophyta; Magnoliopsida; Poales; Poaceae.